Molecule: ribosomal RNA, 331 nt
Filed under: Boophis opisthodon
Lineage: Eukaryota; Metazoa; Chordata; Amphibia; Anura; Mantellidae
Description: partial 16S ribosomal RNA
Rfam family: Bacterial large subunit ribosomal RNA
Source: RNAcentral
UUUAAAUGAGGACUUGUAUCAACGGCAUCACGAGGAUCUCACUGUCUCCCCUCUCUAAUCAGUGAAACUGAUCUCUCCGUGAAGAAGCGGAGAUUUCGUUAUAAGACGAGAAGACCCCAUGGAGCUUUAAACCCAAUGACACCCCCUUUUGACAUAUCCUUACAAUCUACUGGGAACUGAUCACUUGGUUUUAGGUUGGGGUGACCGCGGAGUAUAAAAUAACCUCCAUGAAGGACGGAGAAACUUCCUUAUCCAAGAGCUACACCUCUAAGAAUUACAACACUAAUUUAUAAUGAUCCGACAUUCGAUCAACGGACCAAGUUACCCUGGG